GUUGAUUUUAAAAAGAGACAAUAGCAAAGCAUACUUAUGUAACUGCUUGAUUGAUAUUAGAAUUCUGUACACCAGUGAGUUCGAUCCACCAAAAUUCCCCAUUUAAUAUCCAAGUUCUUCUUUGCUUUGAAUCGGGUAGGCCCGUAAGGUCCACUUCAAAACCCUUCAUUUUCCUACCCCAAGGUUUUGCAGAUUUUUAGAGAAUUCGAAAAAUACCAGGUUUGCCGUUUACACAUAAGAGAGUGGAGCGGACUUGGUUUUUGGGUCCCCGAGUCCUUAAAUCUCCCUCUCUCGCGUUAUCUCCAUAAGCGAAACCAUGUAUCUCUACAUACCCCUAUAGACACAAAUGUAUAAAUACAGUUGUUGUAUUGCGUUGAUAUACAGUACAUAUCCCAAUAUUCAUUUCGAUAUAAAAAUUACAGCUUUCAGCUUCGGAUCCAGGUGUAU
Molecule: long non-coding RNA, 447 nt
Filed under: Olea europaea subsp. europaea
Lineage: Eukaryota; Viridiplantae; Streptophyta; Magnoliopsida; Lamiales; Oleaceae
Source: RNAcentral